This 395-nucleotide ribosomal RNA is filed under the name uncultured bacterium. RNAcentral describes it as "partial 16S ribosomal RNA". It matches the Rfam family "Bacterial small subunit ribosomal RNA", at positions 523 to 918 of the family's 1533-position model. The record is from RNAcentral.
AUACGUAGGGUGCAAGCGUUAAUCGGAAUUACUGGGCGUAAAGCGUGCGCAGGCGGCUUUGUGAGAAAGUGGUGAAAUCCCCGGGCUCAACCUGGGAACCGCCAUUGUGAAUGCAAGGCUGGAGCGAGGCAGAGGGGGAUGGAAUUCCGCGUGUAGCAGUGAAAAGCGUAGAUAUGCGGAGGAACACCGAUGGCGAAGGCAAUCCCCUGGGCCUGCACUGACGCUCAUGCACGAAAGCGUGGGGAGCAAACAGGAUUAGAUACCCUGGUAGUCCACGCCCUAAACGAUGUCAACUGGUUGUUGGGGAUUUAUUUUCUCAGUAACGAAGCUAACGCGUGAAGUUGACCGCCUGGGGAGUACGGCCGCAAGGUUAAAACUCAAAGGAAUUGACGGGG